RNAcentral lists this ribosomal RNA (409 nucleotides) under uncultured bacterium. RNAcentral's name for it is "bacterial SSU rRNA". It matches the Rfam family "Bacterial small subunit ribosomal RNA", at positions 97 to 520 of the family's 1533-position model. The record is from RNAcentral.
GGCGAACGGGUGAGUAACACGUGAGCAACUGCCCCUGACUCUGGGAUAACCCCGGGAAACCGGAGCUAAUACCGGAUAUGACGCGCUCGGGCAUCCGAUGCGUGUGGAAAGAUUUAUCGGUUGGGGAUGGGCUCGCGGCCUAUCAGCUUGUUGGUGGGGUAACGGCCUACCAAGGCGACGACGGGUAGCCGGCCUGAGAGGGCGACCGGCCACACUGGGACUGAGACACGGCCCAGACUCCUACGGGAGGCAGCAGUGGGGAAUAUUGCGCAAUGGGCGAAAGCCUGACGCAGCGACGCCGCGUGAGGGAUGAAGGCCUUCGGGUUGUAAACCUCUUUCAGCAGGGAAGAAGCGCAAGUGACGGUACCUGCAGAAGAAGCACCGGCUAACUACGUGCCAGCAGCCGCGG